GACGAACGCUGGCGGCGUGCUUAACACAUGCAAGUCGAACGCUGAAGCUCAGCUUUUGUUGGGUGGAUGAGUGGCGAACGGGUGAGUAACACGUGAGUAACCUGCCCCCUUCUUUGGGAUAACGCCCGGAAACGGGUGCUAAUACUGGAUAUUCACUGGUCUUCGCAUGGGGGUUGGUGGAAAGGGUUUUUCUGGUGGGGGAUGGGCUCGCGGCCUAUCAGCUUGUUGGUGGGGUGAUGGCCUACCAAGGCUUUGACGGGUAGCCGGCCUGAGAGGGUGACCGGUCACAUUGGGACUGAGAUACGGCCCAGACUCCUACGGGAGGCAGCAGUGGGGAAUAAUGCACAAUGGGCGCAAGCCUGAUGCAGCGACGCCGCGUGAGGGAUGGAGGCCUUCGGGUUGUGAACCUCUUUCGCUCAUGGUCAAGCCGCAACAAUGGUUGUGGUGAGGGUAGUGGGUAAAGAAGCGCCGGCUAACUACGUG
RNAcentral lists this ribosomal RNA (483 nucleotides) under uncultured bacterium. RNAcentral's name for it is "partial 16S ribosomal RNA". It matches the Rfam family "Bacterial small subunit ribosomal RNA", at positions 28 to 507 of the family's 1533-position model. The record is from RNAcentral.